GGGUCAGUAGGUUGGUCGUGCCACCGGUACGUACUGGUCUCACUGAUUCCUCCUUCCUGAAGAACCGUAAUGCCAUUAAUUUGGUGUUGCGGGGAAACAGGACUAUUACUUUGAAAAAAUUAGAGUGUUUAAAGCAAGCUAACGAUUGAAUACAUUAGCAUGGAAUAAUGAAAUAGGACGAUCGAUCCUAUUUUGUUGGUUUCUAGGAUUGACGUA
RNAcentral lists this ribosomal RNA (216 nucleotides) under Glomeromycotina sp. RNAcentral describes it as "partial small subunit ribosomal RNA". The stretch from base 40 to 216 matches the Rfam family "Eukaryotic small subunit ribosomal RNA", at positions 686 to 864 of the family's 1831-position model. The record is from RNAcentral. Lineage: Eukaryota; Fungi; Glomeromycota.